RNAcentral lists this transfer RNA (77 nucleotides) under Escherichia coli. RNAcentral describes it as "tRNA-Asn". It matches the Rfam family "tRNA". From Rfam's summary of the family: Transfer RNA (tRNA) molecules are approximately 80 nucleotides in length. Lineage: Bacteria; Pseudomonadati; Pseudomonadota; Gammaproteobacteria; Enterobacterales; Enterobacteriaceae. The record is from RNAcentral.
UCCUCUGUAGUUCAGUCGGUAGAACGGCGGACUGUUAAUCCGUAUCUCACUGGUUCGAGUCCAGUCAGAGGAGCCAA